AUCACUCUUCUUCAUUUUUUCUAGUCAUUUUUGCAACUCUCAAAGGGUAUUUCUUUCUUCUCCCUUUUCUUUUACUACUUUUAUAAAAUUUUUGACAUUUUCUUUAAAUCUUCUCCAUCUUUCUAUUCCAUUUGCACUUUCUACUCUUCAUCCCUUUGUUUUUGAUGUCAAAUCCUGGAGAUGAGUUCGGAGAUGAGAGCCACUUGAGGGAUCAAGCCUCUCAGUCUUUAGUUCCUUGAGAGAUGCCAGAGGACAUUCCUCAGUCAUCAAUCGAAGUGGACUCUUCAUCCCAUCCAGGGCAUUCCUCGAUCUGAGGAUCGAAAAGUUCAAUCUUCGAGCAUUUCUCUGGUCUGGGGCACAAAGAGUCCAUACUGAUUGAAGCUGAUUUGGGGCAACUCCGGGGUCAAUAUUAUUUUUCGAGUUGGUAUUAGUCCUAAAUCCAGAAGGUCGGAUGACCCUUCCUCAAGAGGAUCGCAUCGGUAUUUAUGAAGAGUUUCUUCGAUCUAAGCUUUAUUUACUUUCUCACCCAUUUAUUUACAAUAUUUUUGACCUUUAUCGGAUCAUUCUCACUUGACUUUUCCGAAUUCGAUCCGAAUACUUUGUU
RNAcentral lists this long non-coding RNA (604 nucleotides) under Elaeis guineensis (African oil palm). Its description in RNAcentral is "long non-coding RNA (EGUI_LNC041732)". The record is from RNAcentral. Lineage: Eukaryota; Viridiplantae; Streptophyta; Magnoliopsida; Arecales; Arecaceae.